AUGGUUCGUUAGGCUUUAUAGUUAAUGAAACUUUAUUGAAAUAUGCAGCACCCAAUAUCAACGUAUGUUGCAGCAAAUCUGGAAAAUUAUCUAGAUAUCUGGUUGAUUAUUAUUACAAAACGACCUUUGUGCCUCUUGUCACAGAUCCUUGUUAUAGAUGCUUGGACUGGACACACUAAUUCCGAAAUUUAUGCGAGUAUCUUUGGCCAUCAAAAUAACCGACCGGAAUGCCGAAUUGUAAUAAUUUCUGAAAAGUGUACAGCACAAUGUUAGCCGUUAGACACAAUUGUACAUAGAUAAAUAAAAUACUUACAAAAUAGAAUUGUAACUGUUUUAGAAUUGUUAUAUGACCAUUCUACAUUGCCUAAUGAGGAAAACUGGACAAGCAGAGCAGGUAUCAUAUAUCUCCAGUCAUUAAUACAUCGCCAAAUUUCAUCUGAUAUAUUCAGAUCUCUAUUAUUGUAUUCUUGGUGUUAAGCUG
Molecule: long non-coding RNA, 481 nt
Filed under: Androctonus crassicauda
Lineage: Eukaryota; Metazoa; Arthropoda; Arachnida; Scorpiones; Buthidae
Source: RNAcentral